ACCCCUGGCCUGGGAACCUUCAUGUGCUGCGGGCGCAGCCCUAAAUAGAUAGAAAGACAAAAAAAAGAAGACUCUCGGAGGCGCGUGCUCAGGAGUCACGAGCCUGCUCCUUUCCUCCCCCGCACGUUCCCAGUACAUAGAUUCCACGGACUUGGAGCCAAGCACCUUGCAGGAGGAGCCCGUGCGCUACCACGAGGCCUGGCAGAAGCUCUGCAGUGCCCAGUAAGCGGUAUUCCCCGCCCCCCUGUGCUUGCCCGGGGCUUGCGGUUUGGGGUUUGAAUGGACAAAGCGGUCUUAGGCUGGUGGUGGAGGAUCUGCUUGUUUAAAUGUCCCCUCAUUAUUGCAAAGACUCCAGACUGGACGAUGGAAGCCUUCGCACAGAUGCAGCUUAUCAGUGUAGUUCUAAGCGUGGAACGCUGGUUCUAAUGUUGUUGAUGAUGUUUACUGGCUGCGUCUCUGGGUGAGGCUUAUGCAAAGGUUUUUCAUCCAGAAUAUUGGAUGAGUGCCCGUCAGUAGAGUCUCGAAUAGUCUGGGGGCAGCUAUCAUCUAUAAGAGUGAAAACCAAAACCCACCCCCGAGAACAACUGAAUGUUCUGGAGCCACACAGCUGUGGUCGGAGCUGAUCCGAAAAGGCCUCCUUCCUACUCGAGGGGGCACUUCAAGCAAGAGGUAAAAAAAACUGCAAAUUUUGGCAAGAAUCUGCUCCUGGAACAAGUAUUGUGCCGUCACGGUAUUACAAUUCGGUCAUAUUUUAUUUUUUUUUUUAAAUUUUUUUACUGGUUAUAAGCACUUGCUGAUGUCACAGAGAGAAGUGCCUGGCUCUGGGUGCACCUUCCCAGCCCACGGUGUUCCCGUCCAGCUCACUGGCUGUCUUGAGAUCUCAGGCCACAGCCCCGGCAGCACAGUGCCUGGGGGAUUUCGUGGCACCUGUGUCUUGGAAGUGGCUCCUCGGGUGGUAAUUGCGAGCUGGACAGGUGGAAAGCCGGUCUUUGUGUGCUUCCUUGCACAGUGGCGUGCUGGUCCCAGGGGGAUUUGGCGUUCGAGGGACGGAAGGAAAAAUCCAAGCGAUCGCCUGGGCGCGGAAACAGAAGAAGCCUUUUUUGGGGUGUGUGCCUGGGGAUGCAGUUGGCAGUGGUUGAGUUUUCAAGAAACGUCCUGGGCUGGCAAGGUGAGUGUCUGCGGAAAAGCGUGCUAAGUUCUCACCCGGUGUUCCUAGAGGGCGUGAAGCUUGGUGCCCGGUGGGCGAUGGGGAGCCGAGGGGGACAAGCCUGGUUUCUCAGUCCUUCCCGGGCUCAGCCAGAGGGAGCUGCUGCAUCCACGGCGGGAGCCACCAACCUCGGGUCAGAGGGCUGGCUGAGGCCACGCCCUGGCUUUCUGCCCCCUGCUUCUCCUGCUCUGGAGAUGCCCACACGCCCGUCCCCGUGGCCACCGUGCCACCGUCCCUGAGCCGGAGCCUGGCAAGAAAACUCACUGACUGGAGCGAGCUGUGCGGUUCUUCGGAACCCGGGCUCUGGAGCUGGCCUCGCAUGUGGCUUUAUGACUUAUGGGUGAUUUUAGGCAAAUUUCUCAGCCUUUCCAAACCUCUGUUUUCUUCUGUGAGAUGCGGGUCAGAGUGUUACCUGCGUCACACGGUUGUGAGAGUUGAGUGAAAUACUGCGUGUAAGUUAUCCCCUUGCGAUGCCUGGCAGUUAGGAAAUACUCCCCGCUACUGGCUCUGUGCCUCCGUGACUACUACGCCGUGUCCAGGCCACCGAGAACUUGGAGGCUUCCGCUGCUGGGGUCCUGCAGGUCGAGCGGACGCCCGUGUGGACGGUCUGGACUCGCCCUCCCCGCAUCCAGCUCUGCCCGCGGGGCAGCGGCACAGCCUCGUCGUCACUGAUGCAGCCGAGCGUCCUCACUGUGUGGGGACCCCUGGGCU
Molecule: long non-coding RNA, 1918 nt
Filed under: Sus scrofa (pig)
Lineage: Eukaryota; Metazoa; Chordata; Mammalia; Artiodactyla; Suidae
Description: lncRNA (ENSSSCG00060016860.1)
Source: RNAcentral